Molecule: unclassified non-coding RNA, 3245 nt
Filed under: Hevea brasiliensis (rubber tree)
Lineage: Eukaryota; Viridiplantae; Streptophyta; Magnoliopsida; Malpighiales; Euphorbiaceae
Source: RNAcentral
GCGGAUGUUAAAAUAUGGAGCAGAGCAGACAGAUAAAAAUGAGAAAAGCUGUAGGCAAUGGUAGCCAAUAGUGAGUGGAGGCAGACAACGCAAUGGAGGCUCUCAAGGUCUGGACACUCUCUUCUAAGCCAUUUCGCCACCUCCUCCACUUAGCCUCUUCCAACACCACAACCAGACCUUGCUACUCUACUCUGGUUCUCCGCUCCUCCUCCUCCGGGGUCGGUGGCCGCAAUCGCAGGUCCUCCUCCUCUUCUUCUUCUUCCUCUCUCAACCUUUAUGAGUUUUCCGGCCUCUCCUCAAACGCUAGGUUCAAACUCACGCCACGCAAGUCCUCGCAAUUACAAGGUCAAGCUCAAUAAGAUCAAUCCAUGGUUUGUUUUGAUAGAAGACUUUUGUUCUGGGAAUUGUAAAACACUCCACUUCGAUUUGGGUUCCAGUCAAAAAUGGAGAUUGGGCUUGUGGGUUUGUUAAGGGCUGCUUGGAUAGCUGGGAUUCUGCUUAUAGUUAUAGCUUCCUUGCCUUAUUCUAGGCUUGGUUUAUUUCAUGGACUUGUUUUGGAGUUUGCAAAGAGAGGAAAGAUCAUGCAAUCAUCGCCUUACCAUAAAUUCACUGUUCCUCAAAGAUUCUUCUCUCAUUUCUAUAUGAUGGCUGUGGUCUGGACAACCCUCCUUCUUCUUACUACAUGGAUAUAUGCAUAUAGAACAGCAUCAUUGGUGCCUGAGCCAUACUUUUACUCUAGUAUAUCCAGCUACUUGGCAGGAGGUUCUAACAUCUUUCCAUUUCAUAAAUUGCAUUUGAUUUCUUCAGAGCAUAGAUGCAGCAUUUGGCUUUCUGUGUUUUUGCUGCUAUUAAUGGAAGUUCAAGUCUUAAGACGUCUUUUGGAGACAAUGUAUGUAUUUAACUACAACCCCUCAGCUCGGAUGCACAUUUUCGGCUAUCUUACUGGCUUGUACUUCUACGUAGCAGCACCCUUGUCACUCUGCUGCACUUGUGCACCUGAGAUGUUUAAAUUUGGCACAAAUGAAAUUACUCAGUUCAUUGUUAAAGGCAAGGACGCAAUGCAGGCCAUUGAAUUUGAUUGGUAUGACUUUGUGAAUCCGCUUUUGAAGCUUGGAUGGUGCCAGUGGGUUGGUGCUACUAUCUUCUUUUGGGGUUGGAUUCAUCAGCUUCGUUGCCAUGCAAUUCUUGUGAGUGCCACAAUUUCAUGAUUACUCACUCAUUUAAAGCAAAUUGUGGAUUAACAAUGCUUUGUAAUUGCUUUUGCUAAAAAAAGUUACUAGCUUUUUUACUUUUCCAACUAAAACUCUAUAUCUUUGUUGGAAUUUUAAUGGAUUUUUCUUGCAUAUACUCUGUUUAUACAUACCACAACUUUCAUGGGUAGAGCUCUAACCAUGUGAGUGGUGGUGAUAUACAUCUAGUAUAGGUAAGAAUUUUCCUAUUGGGCAUGAGUUAAUUAUGACUAAAGAUGGCUGUUGUGGUCUUCAUUCUUCUCCUUGUCUAAGAAACAAAAAAUUAUACAUUUAUAGUCAUUAACUUUAUCGCUAAUUCAACGCAAUUACCAAACUUUAGUUUUCAUAAGCAAAAUCACUUAGUUUUUCUUUGUUUUAACAAGUUCACUUGCUAGCUUUUGGUAGAGUUUUAUGUAAGAUUUUGAUAAUGCAACCAAGUAAAAUCUUUUUCAUUUAGUUCUAUGAUUGAAAAUAUGCUAUAGGACAUUAAAAUUUUUUCCUUACUUGGUGAACACAUAAAAAAACAAAUUUGGUUAAUCUCUUCAAAAAUUUAGUAAUAGUGACCUUACUGAAAUAAAAAUAAAGGUUAUAUGAUUUGGUCAAUACAAAUUGAAGUUUAGUGAAUGUUUUUAAAUUUAUCAAGAAGUUUAUUAACCAUUUUUAAGAUUAAGCCAAAUGAUUUUAAUUUAACUCUUUGAGAUAACUUGUCCUCAAAGAUGAUAAAUAUUCAAUUAUAGAAGCAUGUCCUUAAUAGGUUGGUCAGUGCAAGGGUCAAUUAUCCAAAAGGAAGAUUUUGGACAUUUUGAUUUUUCAAUAAAAUGAAGUCAAGGUGAUAAAUAUUUUAGAUGGAAAAUCACUUUUCUCUGAAGUUAGUACAUCUUGUUAUAGUUAAUAUCUAUUAAAAACUACUUCAUGUGAAUGAAUGUGCAUCUUAGUCAAUGAUAUCAUGUUCAUUAAAUUUGUUCAGUUGUGAUGUAGCAUAGUUGCAUCAUGAAAAUAGUGUAAGUUAUUUCUAUUGAUGAAUUGUGGCACUAGUUUCUCUCGCAGCCGCUCGAUUUUUCAAGCUAGUGGGAAUUGGAGAACACAGUGGGUUAGUAAUACAUGCACACUCGCACACACAAGCACAUGUACAACAUCAGUCCUUAACAUUUCUUUAUUCUCUUUUUUCUUGAUUCUAUGGAGCAUAGACAACUGUCAAAUCAACUUGUAUGAGACAAAAUGGGGUGAAAUCAUUCUGUAAGGCACCUAUCCAUGUUCAUCCAUCUGUGUUGAUUUCAUAUAUGUUAACAAGGAUGAUGAAACUGCUGCAAAUUUAAUAAGCCGACUCAAAAUCCUCACAUUCACUGUCCUGUUGUUAAUUAGGGGUCACUACGAGAACAUGGAAGAGGAAUUGAUGAAUAUGUUAUCCCUUACGGUGAUUGGUUUGAGAUUGUUUCAUCUCCACACUAUCUGGCUGAGAUUGUAAGUCAGUCGUUCUCACUCAAGCACAUUUUGUGAUUCUCUCCUUGAUUAAGUGGUUGAAAAGCCUAAGGCCCACUUUUUAUGCUUCUUCCUGCUUUAUGGAAAUGAUGCACAGAUUAUAUAUGCUGGUAUGGUUGUUGCUAGUGGAGGAGCAGACCUUACCAUUUGGUUCCUUUUUGCAUUUGUGGUAUUAUUCCUUGUUCAUGGUAUUUGGAAAAUGCUUCUUUUUUAAUUGAGCUUUCCUUCAGUCACCAUACAAGACCUGAAUGUUUUUGUGUUGGGUGGUGGCAGGUGGCAAAUCUAGUAUUUGCAGCAGCAGAAACACACAGGUGGUAUCUUCGUAAAUUUGACAAUUAUCCAAGCAACCGUCUCGCUAUUAUUCCAUUUAUUUAUUAAUACAUGUAUGUGGCUGUAUAUGUAAUCACACUAGGGUAUGCCUACCAUCGCAUGAUCAAGCAAUGGCUGUUGCAAAUUGUAGACAUUUGGUUGGAAAAUUUUUGAUAGAAAAUCAAAUUGGUUUUUAGUUGAUGAUAUCUAAUUGUGGAGUUAAUUUCU